GAAUUGUUUGGCACAUGUGUAAAGCUCCUUUGCUGUAUUUCUUUUGUUUGAUGGUUGUGGUGGGAGUAAAAGUGGACUAGCCGCCUGACUGUGAGGACAUGAAGCUGCUCACUGGAAACUCUCCCUGCUGCUGCAGAAACAUGUGAGGAGUCCUCAGUGUUUAGAUCAGAGGGAGUCUGGACUCUUGUGUUGGUGGAGCAGGGCUGAAGAACCA
Oreochromis niloticus (Nile tilapia) is the source of this 214-nucleotide long non-coding RNA. RefSeq lists it as uncharacterized. The transcript is spliced from 2 exons. The record is from RefSeq and is a predicted model, not a curated record. Lineage: Eukaryota; Metazoa; Chordata; Actinopteri; Cichliformes; Cichlidae.